UCGGGUUUUAAACUUUAUUUCUGGGUGACUUUAUUAUCCAUCUCGAGAUGGCGCAUUUCUCGUGAAAAAGAUUCAUCUAUUAGAUUAAUAAAAGGGGCUCAUUGAGAACAGAAAACCGAGUACGAUUGCACCAUUCACAUAUGAUUGAACCAUCAGUCCAAUAUUUUAUUUUUGUUGAUCUUAAUUUCGACAAGAUUUGUCCUGUUUUUACCACAAAUUUGCUAUCAUGCUAUGUACAACAAGGUUUGCUCUAUUCUUGCCACAAAUUUGCUACCAUAUUGUAUACAGCAAGGUUUGCCUUGUUCUUGCAAAUUUGUUAUGCUUUAAUAGCAAGUUUUACCCUGUUAUUUGCAUAAAAUAUGCGUCAUACUAUUUACAACAAGCUUUGCCAGCAAAAGCUAAGCUUAAUGCGGACACACCUUGUCGUAAUUUUACUGCAAAGGUUUGCUCGAAUUUGUAGCAAACUUCACGCAAAGUUUGCGUCAUUUUGCUAACUGGGUAUAUUUUCAAUUUGAAAACAAUAAUGUUAUUAUUUAAAAAAAUAAGUUUUAAAAUAAAAAAUACUUAUUUAUUUCUAGUGUCCGGACAAUGUAUUCUAUUUCAAUUACAAAUAUUAUCAUAGUAUUAUACUACUUGGAAUCUGUAAUGCUAAUUAUAUGUUUAUGUUUGUCGAUACUGGAGGUUAUGGUCUGCGUAGCGAUGGCGGAAUAUUUAAAGAUUCAAUAAUUGGCUAAAAGUUUAAUAAUAAGAAGAGAAAUGAAUUUACCGGAUGUAAAUCUUUGACAGUAGAUGGACCACCUGUACUAUAUGUAUUGGUAGGCGAUGAAGCAUUUUCACUAACGGAAUACUUAUUAUGACUAAUAAGGCUGGUUUAACUUAAGAUCGAACAAUUUAUAAUUAUCGACUUAGCCGAGCGAGACGACUAUUAAAAAUAUCUUUGGAAUUUUGGUUAGUCAAUGGCAAAUUUUUAAAAGACCUAUAAUUUGUACUUGAUAAAGAGCAAUGAAAAUUGUUCAAGCUAUUACGUCUUCAUAAGUGGACUCGACAUUUAGAAGAAAAUCAGUAUAUAACCAACAAUGUUAGAUCAAAAUGAUCCAGAUGGGCUUGUUUUUGAUUCUUGGAGACAAGAGAUAUAAAAUAGUGCUGAAAGUUGAAAGAUAUAACUCGAUGUAGUACAAAUAAUAGUUCUCAACAAGCGGGAAAAAUUUGUGAAAAAUUUUGCAAAUUUUUUAAUAACAUAGGAGCCAUACUUUGGCAAUUUGCUCAUAGUUAAUUAUUAUUAAUUUGAAAUUUUUAUUUUUAAAUAAUUACAUACUUUAAUAUAUUUUGUAAUUUUAUAAUCUUAUAUCUUGUAAUCUUAUAGACACCAAAAAUAAAAUUGUAUUCUUUUCUUAAUAUAACAAUUUUUACAAAACAAUAACGCAUAAUAAUUUUUAAUAUACAGUAAUUUUACUGGGGUGUUGGAUGUGUGCUGCAGAGGUAGCACCCUUUGCCACAACGGUCGCAUCAACAAGAGAUGAUUGUUGGUAACCGGUCUUCGUAGCGCACCAGCUCUCAUUUAUGGCUCUUAGUGUUACAUCCCGGUGCACUGCAUCGGUCUGCAGGUGAAACUAAGUGAGGGUAGCCAUAUCAAAAAUCAUAACCUAGAAUAGACAUCAGCUCAGACCACAAUCCACUUGUGUUGGACGUGACGCUGAAGCUGAAAGCGGUUAGGAAAAAGCGUACCAACGGGAAGAUUGACACCUCCAAAUUACAUGAUGCCGAUGUAAAAGAGAAGAUUUGUGUGCAGCACCUGGGAGCACCGUUGCGUGCAAGGAAAAAGGCAUCGAUGACAUCCUGAUCCUGAUGGAGAGACGCUGAUUGCUCAAGAACAACAAAGAAGAGUACAGAGAGCUGCAACGCAUAAUAAAGAGGGAAAUCAGGGCAGUAAAACAACGCUGGAUGACCGAAAAGUGCGUGGAAAUGGAAGAUCUCAUUUUGAAGCACGAUCUGAUGAACAUUCACAACAAGGUAAAAAAGGUGACCGGCCUUUAUAACAAUCGAAAGCCCAUGGCAUUAUUAGAUGACACAAACAAAAUGGUGGAAGAGGCAAAGGCAAUGACCGCGUGGCAGGAAUACGUGGCUAAGUUAUUUGGAGACACCAAAAUGAACGUAGAGAUUAUGGAUCGACAGGGUUUCCAACACUGAGGUGCUGGAAAGAGCUCGAGCGCAGCGGGAAUUACUAACUACCAUCAAAUGCAGGAAAAUAGACUAUCUUGGGCCCAUCCUAAGAGGGGAGAAGUAUCGACUCUUCCAGUUAAUUAUGAAGGGGAGAAUAGAAGGUCGUCGCGGUAUAGGAAGAAAGCAGCUAUCAUGGAUGAGGAACAUUAGAACGUGGACAGGUAUCGAGGAGCGGAGGAGCUCUUCCGCGCGAUGGACAGAGAGGUUGCCGCCAGAGUGAUCGCCGACGGGGAACCGGGCAUGGCAUGUGAAGAAGAAGUAAUUUUACUACUACUGACAGUGGGUUAAAAUUAGUAGUAGUAGAAUUAUUAAAAACAAAAAAUAGUCAUUAUAUUAAUUAGUAUUAUAUAUUAAUUGAAAGUAGCGUAAAUUUAAAGUAAGUUUUAAAGUUUUGACAAUGCAUCAUAAGUUAUUUUUAAGAAUUGUUGUAUUAUUUCUCUCAAGUAUCGGUAGUUUUUUUAAAAUAUGUCCUAUCCCUUAGAAAGAAAUCCAUGUCAUCCAAUUCUGGAGGAAGAGGCAAUGUUUUAUCUUUGAGUUGACAAAUUGCAUCAGCAAUUCUAUUAAUUGCUGUAUCAUUAUUAAUCCGUUUUCUUUUUCUUCCAGAAAAAUCUAAAAUUAUCAUAUCAAUUUUAUUUUGUAAUUAUUGUUUCAUACACAUUAAUUCUCUAACAAUUUUAUUAACAAUACCUGUUUGAAUACAAGAUAAAUCAUCAUUGAUGUCCAUUGAGAAAUUAGGAGUGCUACAUGAGUCUCUCUCAUUUCCUUUCUAUGUUUGAUACAGUACUAUAAGUUAUAAAUUAAUCCAUGUAAAUUAAAUUUUUUAAAAAUUA
Molecule: long non-coding RNA, 3050 nt
Filed under: Monomorium pharaonis (pharaoh ant)
Lineage: Eukaryota; Metazoa; Arthropoda; Insecta; Hymenoptera; Formicidae
Description: uncharacterized LOC118647067
Source: RNAcentral